GAAAGCGUAAUAGCUCACUAGUCGAGUCGGCCUGCGCGGAAGAUGUAACGGGGCUCAAACUGGAUACCGAAGCUGCGGCUGCAUACUAUGUAUGCGGGGUAGGGGAGCGUUGUGUAAGUCUGUGAAGGUGUGUUGAGAAGCAUGCUGGAGAUAUCACAAGUGCGAAUGCUGACGUGAGUAACGAUAAUGGGAGUGAAAAACUCCCACGCCGAAAGACCAAGGUUUCCUGCGCAACGCUAAUCGGCGCAGGGUGAGUCGGCCCCUAAGGCGAGGCAGAAAUGCGUAGCUGAUGGGAAACGGGUUAAUAUUCCCGUACUUCUUAUAACUGCGAUGGAGAGACGGAGAAGGCUAUGCCUACCGGGCGUUGGUUGUCCCGGGGAAAGGCUGUAGGCUGAGGUGUUAGGCAAAUCCGGCACCUUAAGGCUGAGAGUCGAGACCACUGGUCCUUUGUGACCGGGAAGUGGUUGAUGCCAUGCUUCCAGGAAAAUCUUCUAAGCUUCAGGUUAUAAGGAACCGUACCCCAAACCGACACAGGUGGUUGGGAUGAGUAUUCUAAGGCGCUUGAGAGAACUCGGGUGAAGGAACUAGGCAAAGUGGUACCGUAACUUCGGGAGAAGGUACGCCGCUGAAGGUGAUGAGACUUGCUCUCUGAGCUAUCGGCGGUCGCAGUGAAAAGGCCCCUGCAACUGUUUAUUAAAAACACAGCACUCUGCAAACGCGUAAGCGGACGUAUAGGGUGUGACGCCUGCCCGGUGCCGGAAGGUUAAUUGAUGGGGUUAGCUUCGGCGAAGCUCUUGAUCGAAGCCCCGGUAAACGGCGGCCGUAACUAUAACGGUCCUAAGGUAGCGAAAUUCCUUGUCGGGUAAGUUCCGACCUGCACGAAUGGCGUAAUGAUGGGGGCGCUGUCUCCACCCGAGACUCAGUGAAAUCGAAAUCGCAGUGAAGAUGCUGUGUACCCGCGGCUAGACGGAAAGACCCCGUGAACCUUUACUAUAGCUUCACAGUGGACUUUGAACCUGUUUGUGUAGGAUAGCUGGGAGACUUUGAAGCAGUGACGCUAGUUACUGUGGAGUCGUCCUUGAAAUACCAGCCUGGCAUGUUUGAGGUUCUAACCUAGGUCCCUUAUCGGGAUCGGGGACAUUGUGUGGUGGGUAGUUUGACUGGGGCGGUCUCCUCCCAAAGAGUAACGGAGGAGCACAAAGGUACCCUCAGCACGGUCGGACAUCGUGCAACGAGCGUAAAGGUAGAAGGGUGCUUGACUGCGAGACCUACAAGUCGAGCAGGUGCGAAAGCAGGUCUUAGUGAUCCGGUGGUUCUGUAUGGAAGGGCCAUCGCUCAACGGAUAAAAGGUACU
RNAcentral lists this ribosomal RNA (1354 nucleotides) under seawater metagenome. Its description in RNAcentral is "bacterial LSU rRNA". It matches the Rfam family "Bacterial large subunit ribosomal RNA", at positions 1128 to 2467 of the family's 2925-position model. The record is from RNAcentral.